Molecule: small RNA, 246 nt
Filed under: Saimiri boliviensis boliviensis (Bolivian squirrel monkey)
Lineage: Eukaryota; Metazoa; Chordata; Mammalia; Primates; Cebidae
Description: Metazoan signal recognition particle RNA (ENSSBOG00000005069.1)
Source: RNAcentral
GCUGGGCAUGGUGGCGCGUGCCUGUAAUCCCAGCUACUCAGGAGGCUGAGGCAGGAGAAUUGCCUGAACCCAGGAGGCGGAGGUUGCAGUGAGCCGAGAUGGUGCCAUGGCACUCCAGCCUGGGUAACAAGAGCGAAACUCCAUCUCAAAAAAAAAAAAAAAGUAUUACCCAGGUGUGGUGGUUGCAGUGAGCCAAGAUCAUGCCACUGCGCUCCAGCCUGGGCGAUACAAUGAGAUUCAGUCUCA